Molecule: non-coding RNA, 109 nt
Organism: Zea mays
Lineage: Eukaryota; Viridiplantae; Streptophyta; Magnoliopsida; Poales; Poaceae
Source: Rfam
ACUCUAGUAUUGACCUCAAUCCACAUGUGUUGAGGUGGAUUGGGGUGUAAAUUAGUUUAAGUUACACCCCAAUCCACCUCAAUACAAGUGGAUUGAGGUCAAUACUAGA